RNAcentral lists this ribosomal RNA (253 nucleotides) under uncultured bacterium. RNAcentral's name for it is "partial 16S ribosomal RNA". It matches the Rfam family "Bacterial small subunit ribosomal RNA", at positions 524 to 776 of the family's 1533-position model. The record is from RNAcentral.
UACGUAGGGUGCAAGCGUUAAUCGGAAUUACUGGGCGUAAAGCGUGCGCAGGCGGUUUUGUAAGUCUGUCGUGAAAGCCCCGGGCUCAACCUGGGAAUUGCAUUGGAGACUGCAAGGCUAGAAUCUGGCAGAGGGAGGUAGAAUUCCACGUGUAGCAGUGAAAUGCGUAGAGAUGUGGAGGAACACCGAUGGCGAAGGCAGCCCCCUGGGUCAAGAUUGACGCUCAUGCACGAAAGCGUGGGGAGCAAACAGG